GCCCACCAGCUAGCCCCCACCUCAAAACCAAAUACCCUAUAUAUAUACCUCACCCAACCCUAAAAUAAACAAACCAUUCUUCCUCCCUAGUACGGGCGACGGAAAAGGAC
RNAcentral lists this ribosomal RNA (110 nucleotides) under Saurida umeyoshii. Its description in RNAcentral is "partial 16S rRNA". The record is from RNAcentral. Lineage: Eukaryota; Metazoa; Chordata; Actinopteri; Aulopiformes; Synodontidae.